This is a non-coding RNA of Vicia faba (fava bean), 264 nucleotides long. The record is from the annotation of a GenBank genome assembly. Lineage: Eukaryota; Viridiplantae; Streptophyta; Magnoliopsida; Fabales; Fabaceae.
AUGGCUCAAUCGUUCAAUGCUUUGAAACUCUGUCCUAUUCUCCCUCAGCUUCGACUCAAACUCAACGGAAAAAAAGAAAUUGCGAAUGAGAUGAAACACGCUGUUUUGGAGCAAUUUGAAAGCAUGGACAAUUCAAAGCUGAGAAUUUUGAUGAGACAAGGAUACAAUACGCUUCGAGCUUUGGUCGUGAAGGAUGAAGAUUUAAUCAAGAGGGUGAAAGCCAGGGGCAUGAAAACUAUGGAGUUUAUCAUGGAAGGAACAUGA